AACCCUCCGGCCUGUGUGUUACAAGUGUCACACGGAACUGCCGGUCAUAAACCGGAGGAAGGUGGGGAUGACGUCAAGUCAGCAUGGCCUUUAUAUCCUGGGCUACACACACGCUACAAUGGGAAGGGACAAUAGGUUGCGAAGCCGCGAGGCGGAGCCAAUCCAGCAAAACUUCCCUCAGUUCAGAUUGCAGGCUGCAACCCGCCUGCAUGAAGUUGGAGUUGCUAGUAAACGCAGGUCAGCCAUACUGCGUUGAAUACGUUCCCGGGGCUU
RNAcentral lists this ribosomal RNA (273 nucleotides) under uncultured Anaerolineaceae bacterium. Its description in RNAcentral is "partial 16S ribosomal RNA". It matches the Rfam family "Bacterial small subunit ribosomal RNA", at positions 1100 to 1382 of the family's 1533-position model. The record is from RNAcentral. Lineage: Bacteria; Bacillati; Chloroflexota; Anaerolineae; Anaerolineales; Anaerolineaceae.